GGUUCUGGCUCAGAUUGAACGCUGGCGGGAUGCUUUACCAUGCCACAAGUCUGAACGGCACGGACUUCGGUCUGGUGGCGAGUGGCGAACGGGUGAGUAAUGUAUCGGAACGUGCCUAGUGGCGGGGAUAACUACGCGAAAGCCUUCGCUAUACCGCAUACGCCUUCGGGGAAAGCGGGGGGACCUUCGGGCCUCGCACUAUUAGAGCGGCCGAUAUCGGAUUAGCUAGUUGGUGGGGUAACGGCUCACCAAGGCGACGAUCCGUAGCUGGUUGAGAGGACGACCAGCCACACUGGGACUGAGACUACAGCCAGACUCCUACGGGAAGCAGCAGUAGAGGGAAUUUUGGACAGCGGAAGCCUGAUCAACCGCCCGCGUGUGCGAUGAGCCUUCGGGUUGUAAAGCACUUUUGGCGGAAAGAAACGGCACGGGAUAAUACCCGUGCAACUGACGGUACCUGCAGAAUAAGCGCAGCUAACUACGUGCCAGCAACCGCGGUAAUACGUAGGGUGCAAGCGUUAAUCGGAAUACUGGGCGUAAAGCGUGCGCAGGCGGUUCGGAAAGAAAGAUGUGAAAUCCCGGAAGCAACUUUGGAACUGCAUUUUAACUACCGAGCUAGAGUGUGUCAGAGGGAGGUGGAAUUCCGCGUGUAGCAGUGAAAUGCGUAGAUAUGCGGAGGAACACACCGAUAGCGAAGCAGCCUCCUGGGAUAACAUGACGCUCAUGCACAGCGUGGGAGCAAACAGGAUUAGAUACCACGGUAGUCCACGCCCUAAACGAUGUCAACUAGCUGUUGGGGCCUUCGGGCCUUGGUAGCGCAGCUAACGCGUGAGAGUUGACCGCCUGGGAUACGGUGCUGGUCAGAAACUUUCAAAGAAUUGACGGGGACCCGCACAAGCGGUGGAUGAUGUGGAUUAAUUCGAUGCAACGCGAAAAACCUUACCUACCUUGACAUGUCAGGAAUCCCGAAGAGAUUUGGGAGUGCUCGCAAGAGAACCGGAACACAGGUGCUGCAUAGCUGUCGUCAGCUCGUGUCGUGAGAUGUUGGGUUAAGUCCCGCAACGAGGCGCAACCCUUGUCAUUAGUUGCUGCGAAAGGGCACUCUAAUGAGACUGCAGAGUGACAAACCGGAGGAAGGUGGGGAUGACGUCAAGUCCUCAUGGCCCUUAUGGGUAGGGCUUCACACGUCAUACAAUGGUCGGGGCAGAGGGUCGCCAACCCGCGAGGGGAACCAAUCGAAACCCGAUCGUAGUCCGGACCGCAGUCGCAAUGAGCUGCGUGAAGUCGGAAUCCGCUAGUAAUCGCGGAUCAGCAUGUCGCGGUGAAUGCGUUCCCGGGUCUUGUACACACCGCCCGUCACCAUGGGAGUGGGUUUACCAGAAGCCAGUUAGCUCAACCGUAAGGAGGGCGAUUACCACGGUAGGAUUCAUGACUGGGGUGAAGUCGUAACAAAU
This 1454-nucleotide ribosomal RNA is filed under the name uncultured Bordetella sp. Its description in RNAcentral is "partial 16S-23S ribosomal RNA intergenic spacer". It matches the Rfam family "Bacterial small subunit ribosomal RNA". Lineage: Bacteria; Pseudomonadati; Pseudomonadota; Betaproteobacteria; Burkholderiales; Alcaligenaceae. The record is from RNAcentral.